AUAGGAGACAAGAAGGCAUCUUCUUGUUUUUAAAAGACCUAGCAAUAGGUAUGCUUAGGGAGGAGCUUGCGUCACAUUAGUUAGUUGGUGGGGUAAAGGCCUACCAAGACUAUGAUGUGUAGCCGGGCUGAGAGGUUGAACGGCCACAUUGGGACUGAGACACGGCCCAAACUCCUACGGGAGGCAGCAGUAGGGAAUUUUCGGCAAUGGAGGAAACUCUGACCGAGCAACGCCGCGUGAACGAUGAAGUAUUUCGGUACGUAAAGUUCUUUUAUUAGGGAAGAAUAAAUGAUGGAAAAAUCAUUCUGACGGUACCUAAUGAAUAAGCCCCGGCUAACUAUGUGCCAGCAGCCGCGGUAAUACAUAGGGGGCAAGCGUUAUCCGGAAUUAUUGGGCGUAAAGGGUGCGUAGGCGGUUAAAUAAGUUUAUGGUCUAAGUGCAAUGCUCAACAUUGUGAUGCUAUAAAAACUGUUUAGCUAGAGUAAGAUAGAGGCAAGUGGAAUUCCAUGUGUAGUGGUAAAAUGCGUAAAUAUAUGGAGGAACACCAGUAGCGAAGGCGGCUUGCUGGGUCUUUACUGACGCUGAGGCACGAAAGCGUGGGGAGCAAACAGGAUUAGAUACCCUGGUAGUCCACGCCGUAAACGAUGAGUACUAAACGUUGGGUAAAACCAGUGUUGAAGUUAACACAUUAAGUACUCCGCCUGAGUAGUACGUACGCAAGUAUGAAACUUAAAGGAAUUGACGGGACUCCGCACAAGCGGUGGAUCAUGUUGUUUAAUUCGAAGGUACCCGAAAAACCUCACCAGGUCUUGACAUGCUUCUGCAAAGCUGUAGAAACACAGUGGAGGUUGUCAGUUGCACAGGUGGUGCAUGGUUGUCGUCAGCUCGUGUCGUGAGAUGUUGGGUUAAGUCCCGCAACGAGCGCAACCCUUAUUGUUAGUUACCAGCACGUAAUGGUGGGGACUUUAGCAAGACUGCCAGUGAUAAAUUGGAGGAAGGUGGGGACGACGUCAAAUCAUCAUGCCCCUUAUGACCUGGGCUACAAACGUGAUACAAUGGCUGUUACAAAGGGUAGCUGAAGCGCAAGUUUUUGGCGAAUCUCAAAAAAACAGUCUCAGUUCGGAUUGAAGUCUGCAACUCGACUUCAUGAAGUUGGAAUCGCUAGUAAUCGCGAAUCAGCAUGUCGCGGUGAAUACGUUC
RNAcentral lists this ribosomal RNA (1200 nucleotides) under Rice orange leaf phytoplasma. RNAcentral's name for it is "bacterial SSU rRNA". It matches the Rfam family "Bacterial small subunit ribosomal RNA", at positions 173 to 1373 of the family's 1533-position model. The record is from RNAcentral. Lineage: Bacteria; Bacillati; Mycoplasmatota; Mollicutes; Acholeplasmatales; Acholeplasmataceae.